UGCAGUCGACGAUGAACCUCCUUCGGGAGGGGAUUAGUGGCGAACGGGUGAGUAACACGUGGGCAAUCUGCCCUGCACUCUGGGACAAGCCCUGGAAACGGGGUCUAAUACCGGAUACGACUCGGGAGGGCAUCCUUCCGGGUGGAAAGCUCCGGCGGUGCAGGAUGAGCCCGCGGCCUAUCAGCUUGUUGGUGGGGUGAUGGCCUACCAAGGCGACGACGGGUAGCCGGCCUGAGAGGGCGACCGGCCACACUGGGACUGAGACACGGCCCAGACUCCUACGGGAGGCAGCAGUGGGGAAUAUUGCACAAUGGGCGAAAGCCUGAUGCAGCGACGCCGCGUGAGGGAUGACGGCCUUCGGGUUGUAAACCUCUUUCAGCAGGGAAGAAGCGCAAGUGACGGUACCUGCAGAAGAAGCGCCGGCUAACUACGUGCCAGCAGCCGCGGUAAUACGUAGGGCGCAAGCGUUGUCCGGAAUUAUUGGGCGUAAAGAGCUCGUAGGCGGCUUGUCGCGUCGGAUGUGAAAGCUCGGGGCUUAACCCCGGGUCUGCAUUCGAUACGGGCAGGCUAGAGUGUGGUAGGGGAGAUCGGAAUUCCUGGUGUAGCGGUGAAAUGCGCAGAUAUCAGGAGGAACACCGGUGGCGAAGGCGGAUCUCUGGGCCAUUACUGACGCUGAGGAGCGAAAGCGUGGGGAGCGAACAGGAUUAGAUACCCUGGUAGUCCACGCCGUAAACGUUGGGAACUAGGUGUUGGCGACAUUCCACGUCGUCGGUGCCG
Molecule: ribosomal RNA, 777 nt
Filed under: Streptomyces sp.
Lineage: Bacteria; Bacillati; Actinomycetota; Actinomycetes; Kitasatosporales; Streptomycetaceae
Description: bacterial SSU rRNA
Rfam family: Bacterial small subunit ribosomal RNA
Source: RNAcentral